Molecule: unclassified non-coding RNA, 118 nt
Organism: Callithrix jacchus (white-tufted-ear marmoset)
Lineage: Eukaryota; Metazoa; Chordata; Mammalia; Primates; Cebidae
Rfam family: Metazoan signal recognition particle RNA
About the family: The signal recognition particle (SRP) is a universally conserved ribonucleoprotein.
Source: Ensembl
GCCAGGUGCGGUGGCUCACGCCUGUAAUCCCAGAAUCUUGGGAGGCUGAGGCAGGUGGAUCACCUGUGGUCAGGAGUUCAGAGACCAGCCUGACCAACAUGGUGAAAUCCCGUCUCUA